GUGAAGCCGGAGGUUGCUAAGUGGAAGUGCAGGUGCUGCUGCUUCUUGCACAAACUGCAGUUGUAAUCCAGGAUUCACGGGCCUGUAGGGGCUCAGACUUCAAAUUGAACCGCGCCUCGGCGGCAGCCACAGGUGUAAUACACGAGGCCCAGGUACCAGAAGGUGUCCAGCAGGGCCUUGGCGGCGCCCUAGCAGCUGAGGUCCAGCCGCUGCGCGCCCAGGUUCAUCUCAUUAGUGGACGCCGCGGGCCCGCGAGUUCGGAGCAGCGCGUGUAUCUGUGGGUCUUUGGGGCUGGCCUCGCUAGCCUACCAGCUUCCUUUCGGUGAUGCUCUUUGCUACCGCCAGGCUCCUGACCCCAGCUUGGACAGCAGGCCGCCGAGCGCCCCUGACGCCCGUUACCGAGAUGGCUGCGCAGAAGGGUAACCCAGAAUGACAUCUAUGCCUUUCAUCUGUAAAAUAACAACAACAGUGGGCUCUGGGAACACAGACUAAGACUCCUUAACCACAGCCAUAGGAGUGGCUGUGGGGCUGUGAUCUCUCCUAGAACCUCAGAGGCAUGAAGCUAGAAUAUCUUCCCCUUCAAGGAGAAUAAGCCAAGCUAUGGUUGUUGCGGCCUUUGUUGAUGACAUUCAGCAUUGACUUCUUGGGUAAGGUAUUCAGUAGUUAAGAUUCAAUGACUCCAGUGAAAGGUAUGUUUCCAUCGUGAUGUUCUUCUUCUGGACAAUAAGUGAAAAGAGCAUGUGAGUACCUCUCUCACUCCCAGCAAAUAAUUGUUGUGUCACCUCCACAUGUUUCUUCACGAUUCGAGGCUUUGAUUUCCCCUGCAAGACAAAAUGCAAUGAAGUGAUACAGAAAAAAAGAAAUUCUAUGCUGUCAUCACACUAGACCAUGAUGUUGAUUUAUGGAUGGUCUGCUUUCUUAUAUGCACUUAAUAUUUUUGUACAAGCAAACCUGAAAAGUGUCAAAAUCCCCUUUAACAGAUUAACAGGCUGAGAUGGGUUAAAGUGAGCAAGCCGGGAAGUGGUGGAGCUGGGAUCCACACCCUGGUCUGUCUGAGUCCAGAUGUAAUCAUCUUGCAUUCACUAUGGCAUGUUUCCCUUAUGUUAAGGGUUGCUGACAUAGACAGUGCAUGUCAUUCCUUUUGGUAUGGUCUUCCUCCUUUCUAGCUUUUUUCUGCCUGGAAGAUCCAGGCACCCAAGAGAAUGGAGCUUCCAUGUAAAUUUGCAGAAUCCCUAGGAUGAAAGCGGAGAGGAUCUACCCUGAAACCAACAAGUCUAGGAUGCACAUCUCUGCCUUUUUUUCAGAAUUAGGAAGGGGCAGGCAGAUGGGCAAUUGACAGGAAUAGUAGAAGCAUCCUCGGGGAAGUUGGCUACUUUACUUAGUGAGAAAGCAAUGGAAAGUGACAUUUGUAACUGAGUUUUAAGUGAAGUACAGUCCUAAGAGAGGAGCUCUGAAAAACAGCUGUUACCUGAGAUUGGGAAUGUUAAAGACCUUCUCAGAGCCUGACUGUACUCACAGCUGGACCUAGCUAUCAGAAGAGGGACUGCAACAUACCUGAGAAACUUUCAGAAUACUUAACGGAAGCAGAGUCAGGGGAAGUGAUUUUGAUAGUAGUCCAUGAGAAAAAAAUACGGUGUUUUAAAAUGCAAAUGAACUAAAAUUUAAAUCCUGCUCUCUCAGUAGCUAUGCAGCCUUAGGCGAGUUAAUAUCUUUGACCUUAGUAUUUCUCAGGUGUAAAGAGGGAUAAUUACCUACUCAGAACUUCACCUCUCCCAAGAAAGCUUUCCUGACCAUGUGCUGGCCCUUCCUUUACAUUGGGAUUAAAGUACCCCCCCCCGUUUUUCCAGGCUUUCUUGACUUUAAUUCUGUCAUAGCUCUAAUUAAGAACCUCUGUAAUGAUCUGUCUGCAAGCUUGUGAGAAAUUUGAGGACUGGGAACCAGCCUGAAACAUGUCUGUUCCCCUCUGAGUCAACACAGUGCCUGGGAUCUGGUGUCCAGUAGGGAUUUAAAGCAUAUUGAUUGAAUGAGAAAUGAUGACAGGAUCUACAUGGAUCACAAAGGAUAGUUGUUAUUUUACCUGUUAACUAUUUAAUAGCGAAAUUAAAUGAAAUAUGAAUUAACCUAGGACCAGGGAAGGUGGGGUAAGUUGUGUCUUUCACAUCAACCUUCAUAUGUUCCCCAAUUUUUUCUUCCUUCAUGUACCUAGGACACUCUUGUUCAAACACAAAGGUGGUUUUAUUUUGGGUCUAUACUAGCUAGUUCCCUAGAAAGGUCUUAAAUACAAAAUGAAUGGAAUACAAAAUAACCUCCCUCAUUGUUUUUUUUCCCGGACAAAUGACAGGAUGCAUACAGAACUGCUACUUUUGUGAUGUUGCAAGUAAUGGUAUAGAUGUGCACAAAUCAUGGAUGUGGUCCCAGUGAUCCAUGGAAAUGUGAAGUCCAGAGAUACCUUCCCAAGUGAAAGCAAUAAGCCUUAACCAAAGCUGUGACUUAACCAAGGAUUCACAAGGCAUCUCCAAACAUUUCUAGGAUACGUGUGCAGAACGUGCAGGUCCGUUACAUAGGUAUACAUGUGCCAUGGUGGUUUGCUGAACCCAUCAACCCGUCAUCUUCAAAGCCUUUUUGAGACUGGCCACCCAAUGGGACUCGAAAAUUAUGCUGCCUGGAUGGCACAGACCAAGAGAGUCCUUCCACUUGGUCACAAGUCAAGCUUUCAAGGACAUCAAACAAGAUGAGAGAGAACCUAAAAUGAUACUCCUCUUCAUGACAGAAGGACACCCAAAGACAAAGGAAAAGACUAUUUCUGGUAGAAAAGGGACCAAACACUAUGAAUAUUCAAACCACAAAGUACCAAAAAGUAUACCAGAGUCACUAGAACAAGAUGAGUUAAACAAAUCCUUUCCUCCUAUUAAUCAAGACUUUGGAGAAGAAAAACAAAUAACAAUAUUUACCAUCCACUUGACCAGAUUCCACAGAAAGACAGAGACCUGGAGCCUGACUGGUAAGAAAUCCUUACCCUUUUGAUGGCUCAUCAGGACCUGGAUUCACUUGGCUGUGGGUCAGGAGAGCAGAGCCUGCUCACAGCCUCAAACUGUAGGAA
This 3100-nucleotide long non-coding RNA is filed under the name Homo sapiens (human). RNAcentral describes it as "non-protein coding LINC01284:7". Lineage: Eukaryota; Metazoa; Chordata; Mammalia; Primates; Hominidae. The record is from RNAcentral.